Molecule: non-coding RNA, 876 nt
Organism: Cyanistes caeruleus (blue tit)
Lineage: Eukaryota; Metazoa; Chordata; Aves; Passeriformes; Paridae
Source: RefSeq, a predicted model, not a curated record
UUUUAAAUCAAAAUGUUCUCCAUGACUGACUGCUUUGCAGCACUAGGUGCGCAGCCCUACAAAUUAAAUUGAUGAUUGCCACAUUGGGCCAAAAAUGCAACAGGAGAAGGCUGUGAAAAAUUAGGAAAUCUUCUUGACAUCGGGAAAUCCGACACUUGUCUGCUCUAACAUCUGUAAGUGCCAAAGAAAGGGGGAUUUUUUUUCCUUAAAGGUAAGUCUAUUUUUCUUCUUCUUGCCAGAUAUAAAAAUUGUGGUUAGUGCCUGGAGUAAGGGGCCCUCUAAACUUUAUAGUGUUUACCCUCCAUUUAUAAAUCCAUAAUGAUCUAAUUAAUGAUAUCAUAAGGUUAAAAGUUAAACAGCACUGUAUUUUCUCUGCCUUUUAGAAAGGCAGGUUUGCCUAUCUCCGAGAGAAGAUCGGUCGGGGCUGUUUUCUGAAGAAGCCUGUAGGUAAAGAGGCAUCCAUACAUUCACACAGGAGGAUUCAUAAAGGCAAGGACGAGGAGAUAAAGCCUAAAACCUACAAUGAAUUUACAUCAUCUGUAUGGAGCUUUGGACCAACAGGUUGUUGCCACUUUUGCUGCCUUUGCCUCUGAGAAGUUGAGUAAAUGCUCUGGCCCCUUUCAAAUAUUUUCUCAUCUGCGCUGAAUUUCUACCGACAAAUCAACUGAUAGAUACGGACCUAAGAAAAAAUUAUUAUCAUUGAGUAAGCUUUCUUUUUUUUUUUUACUUAAUCUGAGGCAAUUAGUACCUGAAUAAACACAGGCUAAGUAAUCUACCUCCUCAAAAGGUAAUCAGACUUGAAAAGCGCUGUUUGGCUCUACCCAAGAAAAGCGCAACUUGAUUAAAUUGCUUUGGAGAUUUGCUUUCAUUUCUUCC